Molecule: ribosomal RNA, 497 nt
Filed under: uncultured bacterium
Lineage: Bacteria
Description: partial 16S ribosomal RNA
Rfam family: Bacterial small subunit ribosomal RNA
Source: RNAcentral
GAUGAACGCUGGCGGCGUGCCUAAUACAUGCAAGUCGAGCGAACGGACGAGAAGCUUGCUUCUCUGAUGUUAGCGGCGGACGGGUGAGUAACACGUGGAUAACCUACCUAUAAGACUGGGAUAACUUCGGGAAACCUGAGCUAAUACCGGAUAAUAUUUUGAACCGCAUGGUUCAAAAGUGAAAGACGGUCUUGCUGUCACUUAUAGAUGGAUCCGCGCUGCAUUAGCUAGUUGGUAAGGUAACGGCUUACCAAGGCAACGAUGCAUAGCCGACCUGAGAGGGUGAUCGGCCACACUGGAACUGAGACACGGUCCAGACUCCUACGGGAGGCAGCAGUAGGGAAUCUUGCGCAAUGGGCGAAAGCCUGACGGAGCAACGCCGCGUGAGUGAUGAAGGUCUUCGGAUCGUAAAACUCUGUUAUUAGGGAAGAACAUAUGUGUAAGUAACUGUGCACAUCUUGACGGUACCUAAUCAGAAAGCCACGGCUAACUACGUG